RNAcentral lists this unclassified non-coding RNA (522 nucleotides) under Monilochaetes infuscans. RNAcentral describes it as "sequence contains 18S rRNA gene, ITS1, 5.8S rRNA gene, ITS2". The stretch from base 209 to 362 matches the Rfam family "5.8S ribosomal RNA". Lineage: Eukaryota; Fungi; Ascomycota; Sordariomycetes; Glomerellales; Australiascaceae. The record is from RNAcentral.
CGUUGGUGAACCAGCGGAGGGAUCAUUACUGAGUUUACGCUCAUAACCCUUUGUGAACAUACCUACAAUCGUUGCUUCGGCGGUGCGGGCCCCCAGCGGCCCUCCAGGCCCCCCCCCCUCCCCGGGGCGGGGGGCGCCCGCCGGAGGCCAAUACACUCCAGUCUCUGAACGAAGUCUCUUCUGAGUGGCACGAGCAGGAAUUUAUCAAAACCUUUAACAACGGAUCUCUUGGUUCUGGCAUCGAUGAAGAACGCAGCGAAAUGCGAUAAGUAAUGUGAAUUGCAGAAUUCAGUGAAUCAUCGAAUCUUUGAACGCACAUUGCGCCCGCCAGCAUUCUGGCGGGCAUGCCUGUUCGAGCGUCAUUUCAACCCUCAAGCACUUCUUGGCGUUGGGGCGCCGCGGAAACGCGGGCCCCCAAAUACAGCGGCGGACGCUCCCGGAGCCUCCUUUUGCGUAGUAACCAAACACCUCGCACCAGGACCCGGGGCGCACCGGCCGUAAAACACCCCAAACCUCGCAAGG